GGCAGGGUGAAGGUGGGUUAAAACCCACUGGAGGCCCGAACCGGUGGACAGUGAAAAGUCCUCGGAUGACCUGGGGGUAGGAGUGAAAAGCUAACCGAACCCGGUGAUAGCUGGUUCUCCCCGAAAUGCAUUGAGGUGCAGCCUCGGGCGGUCUGUGCAGGGGGUAGAGCACUGAUGGGGCUAGGGGGGUUUCCUCCGAACCCCGUCAAACUCCGAAUUCCUGCACACAAAGCCCGGGAGUGAGCCCGCGGGGGAUAAGCUCCGCGGACGAGAGGGGAACAACCCAGACCGCCGGCUAAGGGCCCGAAGAGGUGGCUAAGUGGUAAAGGAUGUGGAGUGCCUAAGACAGCUGGGAUGUUGGCUUAGAAGCAGCCAUCAUUUAAAGAGUGCGUAACAGCUCACCAGCCGAGGCGCUCUGCACCGAAAAUGUAACGGGGCUCAAGCCACCCCCCGAAGCCGCGGGUCAGUGCCUCCGCUGGAGGUACUGGCGGUAGGGGAGCUUUCCGCUGUAGGGUGAAGGCGGACCCGCGAGGGUCGCUGGACGAGGCGGAAGUGAGAAUGCGGGCAUGAGUAUACGAAAGGAGGGUGAGAAUCCCUCCCCCCGUAAGCCCAAGGGUACCUGGGGAAGGGUCGUCCGCCCAGGGUUAGCCGGGACCCUAAGGUGAACCCGAAAGGGGUAGCCGAAGGGAAGCCGGUUAAUAUUCCGGCGCCAUCUGCGGUCGAUGGUACGAGGGGUGACGCAGGAGGGUAGGCGCCGGGGGCAAGUGGCAUGCCCCUCCAAGCGGUUAGGGCGAUGACGGGCGUAGGUAAAUCCGCGCCCCGAGCCUGAGCCGUGAUGGGGAGGUCCCUUCGGGGACCAACGGCGCUGACCCCACACUGCCGAGAAAAACCUCGCGUACCGCUUGAGACCGUAGGUGCCCGUUCCGCAAACCGACACAGGUGGGCGGGCUGAGAAGGCUCAGGGGAGCGGGUGAACCCUCGCCAAGGAACUCGGCAAAUUGGCCCCGUAACUUCGGGAGAAGGGGUGCCGCGUUAGGGUGAACCCAGGGGAAGGGGCAACCCGGAAACUGGGGGAGCCCGAGGCGGUCGCAGUGACAAGGCCCUGGCGACUGUUUACCAAAAACACAGGUCUCUGCUAACUCGGAAAGAGGAAGUAUAGGGACUGACGCCUGCCCAGUGCCGGAAGGUUAAGGGGAGGGGUGAGGCUCCUCUUGUGGGAGCGUAGCUCCGACCCGAAGCCCCGGUAAACGGCGGCCGUAACUAUAACGGUCCUAAGGUAGCAUUCGCUGCCUGCCCACAGGGAAACCUGUGGGGCAAUACCCGGCUGUAUGCGGGGAAGCCCUUAGAGCCCUUCUUACCUGGGGGCUGCGGCCAGCCCAGGUAAAAAUGGAAGGGAUUGGGUAAUCCGCAGGAAACCCCGUGAGGGGGAUCCUCAGAGACUGUACGCCGGGCAUCCAGUCCCCGUGAGAAGGGGUGGAAAUCUUGGAUCUCAAACCUGAUUGGGUUGUUGGAUUCGUCGAUGGUGAAGGCUGUUUCUAUGUGGGUGUUAAUAGAAAUCGCACCAUGAAAACAGGUUACCAGGUUCUCCCUGAAUUCAGGAUCGUUCAACAUGAAAGAGAUAUACAGGUUUUGUACGCAUUGAGGAAGUUUUUCGGAUGCGGUGUUGUUCGAAGAAACCACGAUGAUCGAUACGAGCUUCGGAUCCGGAAGAGAUCUUGCUUGAAAAAAGUAGUGGAGUUUUUCGAAAAACACCCUCUGAAAACGAAGAAGAACGUCGACUUCAAGAAAUUCAGAAGGAUAAUCCUGAUGAUGGAACGGGGAGAACACCUGACGAAAGAAGGUCUCAUCAAGAUCCUGGAAAUAGCCAUGGAAAUAAACACAGGUAAUCACGAGAGACUACGACGAGUCCUUGAAGAGAUCCGGGGACUGGAUGAAGAUACAGUCCACCCCCAUUCCGAAAGGAUGGGAUAAAGGUGAGCGAAAUUCCUUGUCGGGUAAGUUCCGACCUGCAUGAAUGGCGUAACGACUGGGGCACUGUCUCGGCGGGGGGCCCGGUGAAAUUUCAGUCUGGGUGAAGAUGCCCAGUACCCGCGGCUAGACGGAAAGACCCCGUGGAGCUUUACUGCAGCCUGGUAUUGGGCUCCGGUGCAUCGUGUAUAGAAUAGGUGGGAGGCUGUGAAGCCGCCUCGCCAGGGGCGGUGGAGCCGCCAGUGGAAUACCACCCUCGGUGCACUGGAGUUCUAACCUGACCCUGUGAAGAGCAGGGUGGGGACAGUGCCAGGUGGGCAGUUUGACUGGGGCGGUCACCUCCUAAAAGGUAACGGAGGUGUGCAAAGGUCGGCUCAGGUGGGUUGGAAAUCCACCGCAGAGUGCAAGGGCAUAAGCCGGCCUGACUGCGAGGCCGACAGGCCGAGCAGGGGGGAAACCCGGCCCUAGUGACCCGGCGGUCCCGUGUGGAAGGGCCGUCGAUCAACGGAUAAAAGUUACCCCGGGGAUAACAGGCUGGUCCCGCCCGAGAGUUCACAUCGACGGCGGGGUUCGGCACCUCGAUGUCGGCUCAUCCCAUCCUGGGGCUGAAGCAGGUCCCAAGGGUUGGGCUGUUCGCCCAUUAAAGGGGUACGUGAGCUGGGUUCAGACCGUCGUGAGACAGGUCGGUCCCUAUCUGCCGCGGGCGUAGGAGGCUUGAGGGGGGUCCUCCCUUGUACGAGAGGACCGGGAGGAGGGGGCCUCUGGUGUACCGGCUGUCGCGCCAGCGGCAUACGCCGGGUAGCUAUGCCCCUAAGCGAUAACCGCUGAAAGCAUCUAAGCGGGAAGCGCGCCCCAAGAUUAGGCCUCCCAUCCCGUUAAGGGAGUAAGGCCGGUCCGAGAAGAGGACCUUGAUAGGCCAGGGGUGUAAGCGCCGCAAGGCGUUGAGCCCACUGGUACUAAUCGGCCGAGGCCUUGACCUC
Molecule: ribosomal RNA, 2948 nt
Filed under: hot springs metagenome
Description: bacterial LSU rRNA
Rfam family: Bacterial large subunit ribosomal RNA
Source: RNAcentral